Molecule: ribosomal RNA, 464 nt
Filed under: uncultured bacterium
Lineage: Bacteria
Description: partial 16S ribosomal RNA
Rfam family: Bacterial small subunit ribosomal RNA
Source: RNAcentral
CUACGGGGGGCUGCAGUGAGGAAUUUUGCGCAAUGGGGGAAGCCCUGACGCAGCAACGCCGCGUGAGCGAAGAAGGCCUUCGGGUCGUAAAGCUCUGUCAAGUGGGAAAAAAAUCUUUUGAUCAAUAGUCAAAAGACUUGAUGGUACCACUGGAGGAAGCACCGGCUAACUCCGUGCCAGCAGCCGCGGUAAUACGGAGGGUGCAAGCGUUGUUCGGAUUUACUGGGCGUAAAGAGCGUGUAGGCGGUUUAGCAAGUCAGAUGUGAAAGCCCUGGGCUCAACCCGGGAAGUGCAUUUGAAACUGCUUCACUAGAGUAUGGGAGAGGGGAUUGGAAUUCCUGGUGUAGAGGUGAAAUUCGUAGAUAUCAGGAGGAACACCCGUGGCGAAGGCGAUUCUCUGGACCAAUACUGACGCUGAGACGCGAAAGCGUGGGGAGCAAACAGGAUUAGAUACCCGUGUAGUC